This 935-nucleotide ribosomal RNA is filed under the name uncultured archaeon. RNAcentral describes it as "bacterial SSU rRNA". It matches the Rfam family "Archaeal small subunit ribosomal RNA", at positions 10 to 921 of the family's 1478-position model. The record is from RNAcentral.
GAUCCUGCCGGACCCUACUGCUAUCGGGAUGAGAUUAAGACAUGCUAGUUGUACGCUUCCUAGCAACGUUGGGAGCGUAGCGGAAAACUCCGUAACACGUAGUUAAUCUUCCCUUAGGACGGGGAUAACCCCGGGAAACUGGGGCUAAUAACCGAUAGGCGGAAACGCCUGGAAUGGCCUUCCACCUAAAGGGUCUUAGAAACACGCUCAUAAGACUGCCUAAGGAUGAGACUGCGGCCGAUCAGGUUGUUGGUGGGGUAACGGCCUACCAAGCCUAUAACCGGUACGGGCCCUGAGAGGGGGAGCCCGGAGGUGGGAACUGAGACAAGGUCCCAGACCCUACGGGGUGCAGCAGUUGCGAAACCUCUACAAUGCACGAAAGUGUGAUAGGGUUAUCCCGAGUGCCAUCCGAUAAGGUUGGCUUUUCCUUGGUGUAAAGAUCCAGGGGAAUAAAGGGGGGGCAAGACUGGUGUCAGCCGCCGCGGUAAUACCAGCCCCCUGAGUGGUGGGGACAAUUAUUUGGCCUAAAGCGUUUGUAGCCGGCUUAGUAAGUCUUUCGUUAAAUCCAGUGACUUAAUCAUUGGGCUGCGAGAGGUACUACUAGGCUUGAGGACGGGAGAGGUCGACGGUAUUUCGGGGGUAGGGGUAAAAUCCUAUAAUCCCGGGAGGACCACCAGUGGCGAAGGCUGUCGGCUAGAACGCGCCCGACGGUGAGGGAUGAAAGCUGGGGGAGCGAACCGGAUUAGAUACCCGGGUAGUCCCAGCUGUAAACGAUGCAGGCUAGGUGUUUGGGCGGCCACGAGCCGCCCUAGUGCCGCAGGGAAGCUGUUAAGCCUGCCGCCUGGGGAGUACGGCCGCAAGGCUGAAACUUAAAGGAAUUGGCGGGGGAGCACCACAAGGGGUGAAGCUUGCGGUUCAAUUGGAGUCAACGCCGG